CUCAACCUGCUGUGCCCGUGAUGGCGUAAUGCGUUUGAGCCAACACCCAUAUGACGGGCGUCAAACGUCUGGUGAUUCGGUGAUAGACCUGCGCGGUUAAGACCAAGUUAACAGUCAGAUGCCCACCCUGCGAAAGCAGGUUCAAAAACAUCGCGGCACACGGCAUAGCGGGAUCCUU
This 178-nucleotide non-coding RNA is filed under the name Chloroflexota bacterium. RNAcentral describes it as "6S RNA". It matches the Rfam family "6S / SsrS RNA". From Rfam's summary of the family: E. coli 6S RNA was the first non coding RNA to be sequenced, but its function was unknown until recently. It consists of 184 nucleotides that fold into an extended hairpin structure with a large single-stranded internal bulge. The 6S RNA specifically associates with RNA polymerase holoenzyme containing the sigma70 specificity factor. RNAcentral also lists the same sequence under 1 other name. The record is from RNAcentral. Lineage: Bacteria; Bacillati; Chloroflexota.